AUUUAAGUAGUUUAAGGGUAAAAUAUUAAUUUGUGGAAUUAAUGAUAUAUAUAUAUGAUAUCUUAAAUU
This 69-nucleotide transfer RNA is filed under the name Polyrhachis dives. RNAcentral describes it as "tRNA-His". The record is from RNAcentral. Lineage: Eukaryota; Metazoa; Arthropoda; Insecta; Hymenoptera; Formicidae.